This 1180-nucleotide long non-coding RNA is filed under the name Vulpes vulpes (red fox). Its description in RNAcentral is "lncRNA (ENSVVUG00000000174.1)". Lineage: Eukaryota; Metazoa; Chordata; Mammalia; Carnivora; Canidae. The record is from RNAcentral.
UGAUAUGUUAAAUGUUGCCAAUAUUCCAUUUAAUAUUAAGCAAUUACAUAACAGCUUUUUUAAAUGCCUAAGUUAAAACCGAUGCAUUCAUAUUGAGUACACUGCUACUUGUAAGGUCCAUUCUCCUGCUGAUCUUCAACAAACACCAUUUAAGUGCCAACCUACUAUUACAAGAGUUUACUAUUUUAUUCUUGCUCCAAAAUGGCAUCAACAGUGAUGGGGGGCUUUCAGGGGAUUGCUGAACAGAAUUUUUGCAACAAAGGGUAAGCUUGAGGAAAUGCAAAAUAUCAACUGUAGGCAUUGCAAUGCUUUAUCUCAGCACUCCUCAACUCUACACACCCCCUAAUCAAACAAGCAGCUUUAUGGCAUGCGCAAUUGCAACUGAAGUAUAACCGACUUCCGCAGAACUGGCUUCCACAGGAUUUCCUGUCCAAAAAUUACCGUGUGGUCAUCUGUAGCCAAAUGCUUACAGAUCAUUAAAGUUGACAAGACACUCCUAGCCCUUUUUUUUUUCUUUUUUCUUUUUUCUUUUUUUCUUUCUUCUCUCUCUCUCUCUCUCUCUCACUUUUUUUUUUUUUCAAGGAGACAAAAAUGACCAAACCCUGUCCUUGGCAAAUUCUCUCUGGACUUCUUUCAUUCCCAUUCUUUGCCCUGGGUAGGAAGGGAAAAACAAAAACAAGCAAACAAAAACCCUCCCUUUGGAAUAUCUGUUUGUUCAAGGUGUCAUUUUCCCUGGGAGGUUAUUUACCGAUUUCUUACUGCUUAGCUUGUCGUGCCUGGUAAUGACUUACUGAAGGAAAUCGGCUCUUCUGGACGAGCUGUUCCUUUAACCCCUUUGGCUCACUCUUCCUUGGAGGCGAGCAAGGGCGUGCUGCAGUGUCUGGGAACCCACCUAGAGGGCCCCCUUGACGCCAGCACAUCCCCUGUCAGGCAGCAGUGUCUGCAGCCAGAGCGGGCUGCUGCAGAGUUAACGUACAGUACCCCGGAGCCUGCAAGUGUCCUGAGCUGCUCAGAGCCCAGGACAGACAGACGAGGCGGCUGCGACGAUUCCAAAGGUUUUGCUGGAAAUUCGGAGCUGGGAGACCCCAGCAGGAGCCUGUUGCCUUUGUGUUUCAAAAGCAUGCAAGCCCCUCUGCCCAGGUCUUUGUCCGACGUGUCUCAGAAGGCAGCGCUGCGUUAA